This 433-nucleotide long non-coding RNA is filed under the name Diabrotica virgifera virgifera (western corn rootworm). RNAcentral's name for it is "uncharacterized LOC126883885". The record is from RNAcentral. Lineage: Eukaryota; Metazoa; Arthropoda; Insecta; Coleoptera; Chrysomelidae.
UCCACGAGUAGCCGCUGUCGCAAGUAUCAAGAAGAACUGUCAAAUUUUUAAAAAGUUUCACUGUUAGCUGAACCUCCAAAUAAAUAAGUUCCAAGUGGUCGGUGGCUUUUUGAACAAAAAAAGGAAUCACCUUUUAGUUAUUUUUUUUUAUACGGAAGCUAUCGUAAUUAAGUUGAAGGAGGAGAAAGUUUUGUUUUGUUGAAGGAGAAAAGUAUUAAUUUGGUAAAAAUUUGGGAUGAUUGCUAUCGGCCACUUGGAACCACUGGAAUAUUCAUCCCACUAACAUCAGGGAUGAAAUAAAAAAAAACUUUAGCGCAGUCACGGGGUAGCCUAGGAGCUGGAAUCGUCUUUUGAGUUGGUUUUUGGACUAUCAUUAUUUUGUUUGGAACUUUGGAAAAGACUUUACGUUAGUUGGUGUUGGACAGUGAUUAAG